Lepisosteus oculatus (spotted gar) is the source of this 3236-nucleotide long non-coding RNA. RefSeq lists it as uncharacterized. Lineage: Eukaryota; Metazoa; Chordata; Actinopteri; Semionotiformes; Lepisosteidae. The record is from RefSeq and is a predicted model, not a curated record.
CACACACCAGCAAGCGUCCUGCUACUGCUCUUACCUUCAGCACCGACAUUGAAACAGUAAUUUCAUAAGAAAGAAGUUGUUUGUUAGUUUUUAUGUUGUUUUAAGACUUUUUUUUUAUUUGUGCUGAGGAUUCACAGGCCAUGUUGGUGUGAGCUGUGUGUUUGUAUGGGAGGCGGGUCGUUUUGCGCCUCGUCUUCGCUUUAUGUGACUUUGUAAUUUUAGAAGGUUUAGUUUGUGGUAGCAAGCAGCGGUUUCUAACGUGAAUUAAUAAUUAAUGCACUCUGUUCGUGCCGGCACGAUCCAACAGGAGCGGGGCCAGAUGGGAGACUCUCAACAUCUCCGAGAGAGUCAGCACCGUCAACCAGAAUGAAAACGGCCAUUUAAGAAGAACGGCACCGGGCGAACUUGAUUUUACUCAGUUACUGCAACUCCUAGACCCACGACCUUUGUCCUUUCACGUUACACUGUACACACCGCUGAAGGAGCAAAGCUGUCCCGUCCGACUGGCUUCGUGUUUUGCACGGAGGGGUGGUCGGAUUAGGCUUCCCUGCAGGUCCUGGCGUUCUCGCUCCCCCCGCCCCCCUGCCCGCGCGCGGCGCUCUGGGUGAAAAAGGGCGCAGCGCGAGCAGGAGGCGACAGAACUGACCCGAGCAGCGUCGCGCGCUGGCAGGACCUCGAGACGAGACGCGAGGACAAGAUCGCCCAGGCUUUGGUGAUGUACAGGCCGUGUGGGUGAGCGGAUCCCAUCUGGAGACGAUGAAUCCGAACCUCAUGAAGGAAAGUGGCACGCGCACGCAGCCCGUGUCAGAUUCCGGGCUCGUGGUGGAGUGCAGGGGUAUUCCAGACGACCUGCGCAAGAGAAUGGGGUGGAUAUUGGUGUACCGGUAUCAAAUCGUUAUUUUUUUUCUUUAUCGACUUAUACCCCUUAUCCAUGGGCUCACAAAUGUGUCACUUUGAGAAACAAAAAUUAGAAUACGCGUAGCAUAUAACACAUAUAAAAAGCACGACUAAUUAAGUGGUCGCAGAGUCACGGUUAUAAGGGAGCACACAGCAUUUGUAUGUGCAGAAGGAGGGACGUGUACGUCUCGGUAAAGAAUGGACUGGGUGAUUGUAUAAUGAUACUAUGGAUUUAAGAUAGGAGGACAUUAGAGCGCUAAUGUCCGAUUGCCUGAUGGGGACAUCAGGGCUCAAGUCAGGUCAUUGUGUCCAAGCCACUGUUUCGCCCACGUUCUCAAUGGUACUGUAAGUGCACAAUAAUACCUACCUGUAUUCAUAUUCCGUGGAUUUAUACAUUUUGACUUGUGGAGAUCUCCAUUUUCUAUGAAAAUAACGUUUUAAAUUUCAAGAUGCGAUUUUUUUUUUUUACAAUAUAACUUGAAGAAAUUUCAAUGUGAAAUGAAGAAGCGUCUUGACAGAAGCAGCCGUUCCCGCUUCAUCUGAUGAAAACGUGCCCUCUGUGACUUCAUGUUUGUCUCUAUGCGUAACCGCGGGUUUUCCUCUCCAUAACUUUAUUGUGCUGCCGCCGGAACAUACUGUAUAUGAGAAUAGCUGACACUGUUACUCACAAUGGAAAUGUCAGUGGUGCGUUGAAAAAACAAACAAGUUCCUGUCAUGAUUUGUUGGAGAGGACGAAGACCAGUUAACAGGUGGCAACUGUAAUAUACAGUAAACCAAUCACAAAAGGUGAAGCUUCAACCAACGUAGACUGAAAUCAGCGGUAUACAGUAUUUUCAUUGUUAAAUACGUCAGAAAUGCGAGUGAAUGGUAGUGGUCAGUCUUGUGUGGUCCUAAACAUUGGAGGCAUUGGGAUCUUGUGUUGCCUUCAGACACUUUUUAACGGUUUGAAGCGCGGCAGUUACCAGCUCUAAGGACCCCCGUUGCCUUCCACACACUCCUUAACAAAAAUAUGAACAGAUAACAGAGUGCCGAUGGUGUAUGUAAAACAGCCUUUCUCGGUAAUGCUAAUGGGGGGGAAAUGUAUUUUGAACACAAUAAAUAACGAUCUGUUCAUUGUUGUUCGUACAUGCAGAGGGAUUUAUGUUUUAAAAGUUGCAAGGUUAUUUUUCCUCAAACUGACACGUUUCUAAUGCCUUUCAAGAAGAACCAUCAGGUUGAAACGUCAGCACGACCUUAAUUAAUGAGGCUUUGAUGACCAUACACAAGCGGAGUCAAUCUGAAAGCAACUACAGAACUACAGAGGCUACAAAGCGUCUUUGUGUAUAAAGUGAAAAAGACGUUUGUUAUAAAACUUUUGCAGGACGAACCACUUUACGUUGACGUGCACUGUCUGUGUUUUCUUUUUUCCGAUGACACUUUGUCAGUUCUAUAAGAUAAUCCUACAUGUAUUCUAUUCCUGUCUUCCAUUACUCAGUGUAACUCAGAAAUAGUCCAACUGUGUUUCGAGAAUGGGAGGAAAUGAAACAGUGAUUGUCGAUACUAUGAACGGUAUCUUCUCCAUCUUGAAGCCUGAUCUGUUCAGGCCACAGAGGGUAAACGGGCUGGGUCAGUUCAGCACUGAGACUCGAAGCAAACUCUGCUUACUACUUUAAGUGGUGUUGCUGGACCAGCAGGUGGCGAUCUUCCCCGUGGAUCAGAUCUUCCAAACCAAUGUCCGAUGUCCUUGUGUGGCGAGUGGGGACACUGUGCUAUACGAUUUUGUGGUUGGGAUGUCAAACAGAGGUCGUGACUACUUUGUCAUUUAGGGUCCCACACGCUGUCUCUAAGAGUAGGGGGUAUAAGCACGGUUUCCACCCUGGGCCUCCCCAAUCUGAUCGGGUUGACAUUUCCCCUGAGAUAAAAAUGCUGUGUUCUCACUCCUCCACCUGCUCUGUUGUGUAACAGAGCUCCAGGCGCAGAAGGAUUCCAGGUGAGUGCUGUACGUCAGCAUGUGUACUGUACACACACACCCUUUGGGUUCGCUUAUGACGAAAACCGCUUCAUAUAAAACAUUCAAUAAAUCGCGUUUCUAAACAUGGAAUGUACUGUACAUUUUAACUUGCAUAUCAAAACUUGGUAGGAGGCAUUCUUUAAAGUAAUAAGGUGCUGUGGGCUUGAAUAAUUCACACACGCAAAGAGUUGUAUGAAAUAUGUGACAUACUGCCGUAUAGAACAUGAAACUGAUACAACACGCAAUGAAACACCUGGUGUUGUAAAAGCAAGCGCCGAUAUUUCCCGGGGUCCUGCGGGGGCCGGAGGCCGGCUGCUCACCCGGCUGGCACUAAUCAACGGCACGCGAC